This 1807-nucleotide long non-coding RNA is filed under the name Fukomys damarensis (Damara mole-rat). Its description in RNAcentral is "lncRNA (ENSFDAG00000024864.1)". The record is from RNAcentral. Lineage: Eukaryota; Metazoa; Chordata; Mammalia; Rodentia; Bathyergidae.
CUGGAGAUGAUGCAGUUUCCUGGGGACCAGCAUGGCUCACUCUGGACAGGACCCGGCCUCAGGACAGGAAGGGAAACCACAUGUAAACACACCACCUUGGGAGGCGCUGUGUGCAGCAGCAUAUGACCUUUGCAAGCCGCUUUCCUCUCCCCAGUGUCGCUAAGAUACGGAGAAGAAUUACUAACUCCAGGGCUCCGUGGAGACAGCAGUCACCCCAGUCCACUGUUUUUGCUUUCUGAGAAUCUCAUGCCCCGCUCCUCGCUCAGCUCCUAGCAACACCCUCGCCCUUCAUGCCUGCUGCUUCCUCCAUCUCAGCCACAGCUACUGGAAGCGUCCAUCGCGGAGAACCACUUCUUCCGCAUCUCUCCCGAGGUCCACUCGUCUCAGUUUCACUCUGUGACUAAUGGCGUCCGCUGACACUUACAUUCCAGUCUUUACAAUUUUAACAGUCGACGCUGGCAGCUUCGAAACAGUCUUCAGCUUCAGGAAGACAAGGAGAGCUUCUUGGAAGACUGGAAAGAGGAGAAGGUUACUUCCAAGUCUUGUUCAUGCCCUUCCACCAAGCCAGCACAGGCACUGAAGAGGCACAGGAUGGGCAGGAGGACGCGCAGGACGUGUGCGGGUGGAUGUCAGAGCAGACGCAGGUGUGCACCUAUGCCACAGCCCUGCUCUGAGAGGGCCAGGGUGCCAGUCCUGCUCAUCUCAGCAGCUUCCUGCCUUCCUGUAGCAGAGGAAGCGUGCAGGGACUCUGUGAGGCCGUAAGUGCCAAGGAGCCCACACCCGCACAGGGAAGUAGUGGACCACAAUCUGCCCCCUGCCCUCCGCGGGCGGACUCUGGGACAUGCUCUGCAUAGCUCCGCGUGUGUUCUUGGGGGGACUGGGCCUCAGUGGUCCACAGUGGUCAGCAGUGUGCCUGCGCCCUGAUGGUGUUUUUCCACUUGCUCCUGUUUCUUGGGAUCAUCUUCCAAACAACUGGCGCCGAAAUCCUUAAGAACUGCUUUACCCUAAAUGAACCUAAAAUGUGUUAAAGAUCAUAAUGUUCUCUCAAACGCCACACCCCCAGCUGCUAUCCCACCUUUGCUCUCAAGGGCUCUGUGUUAAGAGGGAGAGCAGGGUUCCUGAUUUGGCCUUGACUUCUCCCAGCUUAGUCUUCCCUGAACGUAUGACUGUGCACACACACGGAAUGUGAAUAGAAUGAGACGUGCGAGGAGCCUUUUCGUCUUCAUCUCACAAUAAACCAACGGGGUCAAAUUUAGGAAACAAGAUAUAGCCACCUUCUUCUAACCACCUCCUUUAACAAUUACUUCACACUGGGAGUAUGUGGAAAUGGCAAAUAAUGAGAAUACUCUUGGAUAUCGAUUCAAAUUAAUUAAAGGCGAAACUUAUUCUCAUGAGCUUAGUGUGCAGAGAACUGCACUCCUGGGGAGUGUGGAGAAAUUUCUGCUCAGCUUUUUUAGACAUCCUUCUCCGGAGAGCUGAGAUCUAUAAAUCAUGCUCUUGCGGUCCAGUAUUGGGAAGAGCACGUAACCGAUACCCCUGACUGCAAAGCUAUCAUGAAUUGGCUUAGUCAUAAACAAUUUAAGGAAAAAGUAGCAUUCAGUACAUCAGGUGAAAAGAUGGGAGUUCAAUACAUUAUUGCAUUAUUCACAGUUAUUACAAGGUUCAAGGUAAAAUAUCAACACUGUAAUUUCUUCCCAAUAGCAUCCUAAGAGCACAGUUAGUACUGAAAAUUGAGUCUGGGUUUGUUGCCCUGUUUCUAGACUCUCUUUUCUGUUUUGUAUUUCCAUUUUCAUACACAUUCUGCCCU